CUUCCGUAGGUGAACCUGCGGAAGGAUCAUUACCGAGUGUAGGGUUCCUAGCGAGCCCAACCUCCCACCCGUGUUUACUGUACCUUAGUUGCUUCGGCGGGCCCGCCAUUCAUGGCCGCCGGGGGCUCUCAGCCCCGGGCCCGCGCCCGCCGGAGACACCACGAACUCUGUCUGAUCUAGUGAAGUCUGAGUUGAUUGUAUCGCAAUCAGUUAAAACUUUCAACAAUGGAUCUCUUGGUUCCGGCAUCGAUGAAGAACGCAGCGAAAUGCGAUAACUAGUGUGAAUUGCAGAAUUCCGUGAAUCAUCGAGUCUUUGAACGCACAUUGCGCCCCCUGGUAUUCCGGGGGGCAUGCCUGUCCGAGCGUCAUUGCUGCCCAUCAAGCACGGCUUGUGUGUUGGGUCGUCGUCCCCUCUCCGGGGGGGACGGGCCCCAAAGGCAGCGGCGGCACCGCGUCCGAUCCUCGAGCGUAUGGGGCUUUGUCACCCGCUCUGUAGGCCCGGCCGGCGCUUGCCGAACGCAAAUCAAUCUUUUUCCAGGUUGACCUCGGAUCAGGUAGGGAUACCCGCUGAACUUAAGCAUAUCAAUA
This 588-nucleotide ribosomal RNA is filed under the name Aspergillus flavus. RNAcentral describes it as "eukaryotic LSU rRNA". The stretch from base 215 to 368 matches the Rfam family "5.8S ribosomal RNA". The record is from RNAcentral. Lineage: Eukaryota; Fungi; Ascomycota; Eurotiomycetes; Eurotiales; Aspergillaceae.